Molecule: long non-coding RNA, 562 nt
Organism: Drosophila montana
Lineage: Eukaryota; Metazoa; Arthropoda; Insecta; Diptera; Drosophilidae
Exons: 3
Source: RefSeq, a predicted model, not a curated record
ACUAAACCCUACAUGUUUGGACUUUUCUGUUAUUCACAUUUUUGCUAAUUCCUUGCAUAUCGCGAUUAACUAAGCAUCGGCAUGCAAAGCUCAAAAUUUGGAAAUCGAGCCCCCGUGAAAAGAAACAUUUUUUGUAAAUUCAUGUUCUUACUAGGAUUUUUUUGUUCUCACAUUUACAUUUGUGAAAUUUUAUUAAGCGCAUUUUUCAGAUCUUUUUAAUGUUAAAGGUAUGCAGGCUUUGAUGUGUGCAUUAACAACUGCUCGGAUUGAGAAAACCAAUCAGCCACAGUCGAAAAAAAAAAAAACAAAAAACAAAAUCAAAUAACAAAAACAAACAAUAACAAAUAAAUCCAAGGCACAAAGUAAGCGAUCAAGUGUGACUAAUGCGGAAAAGUGACUCAAAGAGUUAAUAAAAGUAGGCUUAUAUAAGUAGCUCUCUGGGUGCGUGUAUGUGUGUGCGUGUGUGUUUGCGUGUGUGUGCUUGUUAAUGCACAUAAAGUAAUUUAGGCACGCCGCAGCCCAGCCCACAUCCCGAAAAAUUAUGUUAUACAAAUAAUUAAAA